UUGAACGCUGGCGGCAUGCUUUACACAUGCAAGUCGAACGGCAGCGCGGGCUUCGGCCUGGCGGCGAGUGGCGAACGGGUGAGUAAUGCAUCGGAACGUGCCCAGUAGUGGGGGAUAGCCCGGCGAAAGCCGGAUUAAUACCGCAUACGACCUGAGGGUGAAAGCGGGGGACCGAAAGGCCUCGCGCUAUUGGAGCGGCCGAUGUCGGAUUAGCUAGUUGGUGGGGUAAAGGCUUACCAAGGCGACGAUCCGUAGCUGGUCUGAGAGGACGACCAGCCACACUGGGACUGAGACACGGCCCAGACUCCUACGGGAGGCAGCAGUGGGGAAUUUUGGACAAUGGGGGCAACCCUCAUCCAGCCAUGCCGCGUGCGGGAAGAAGGCCUUCGGGUUGUAAACCGCUUUUGUUCGGGAAGAAAUCCUCUGGGCUAAUACCCCGGGGGGAUGACGGUACCGGAAGAAUAAGCACCGGCUAACUACGUG
RNAcentral lists this ribosomal RNA (483 nucleotides) under uncultured bacterium. RNAcentral's name for it is "partial 16S ribosomal RNA". It matches the Rfam family "Bacterial small subunit ribosomal RNA", at positions 29 to 507 of the family's 1533-position model. The record is from RNAcentral.